Molecule: ribosomal RNA, 440 nt
Filed under: uncultured bacterium
Lineage: Bacteria
Description: partial 16S ribosomal RNA
Rfam family: Bacterial small subunit ribosomal RNA
Source: RNAcentral
CCUACGGGAGGCAGCAGUGGGGAAUAUUGCACAAUGGGGGAAACCCUGAUGCAGCGACGUCGCGUGAGUGAAGAAGUAAUUCGUUACGUUAAGCUUUAUUAGUAGGGAAGUAAAUGACGGUACCUGUGUAAGAAGCUCCGGCUAACUACGUGCCAGCAGCCGCGGUAAUACGUAGGGGGCAAGCGUUAUCCGGAUGUACUGGGUGUAAAGGGAGCGUAGACGGUGUGCCAAGUCUGUGGUGAAAUGCCGCAGCUUAACUGCGAAACUGCUUUGGAAACUGGCGAACUAGAGGGCGGGAGGGGUAAGCGGAAUUGCUAGUGGAGCGGUGAAAUGCGUAGAUAUUAGGAGGAACACCGGUGGCGAAGGCGGCUUACUAGACCGUAACUGACGUUGAGGCUCGAAAGCGUGGGGAGCAAACAGGAUUAGAUACCCCUGUAGUC